RNAcentral lists this ribosomal RNA (242 nucleotides) under uncultured eukaryote. Its description in RNAcentral is "partial small subunit ribosomal RNA". It matches the Rfam family "Eukaryotic small subunit ribosomal RNA", at positions 587 to 829 of the family's 1831-position model. The record is from RNAcentral.
AGCUCCAAUAGCGUAUACUAACGUUGUUGCAGUUAAAAGCUCGUAGUUGGAUUUUUAAGGGUAUCAGUUCCGUGUGGCCUCUACGUGCUGCAACGGAAGAUCAUUCCUCUUAUUUUAUGCCUACGCACGAUUGAAAUUCGCUUUUUGAUCAUGCAGUUGGCAUGUGUUUACUUUGAGAAAAUUAGAGUGCUCAAGACAGUCUUUUGAUUGUAUACUAUAGCAUGGAAUAAUAACUGAUGACU